RNAcentral lists this long non-coding RNA (747 nucleotides) under Oryctolagus cuniculus (rabbit). RNAcentral describes it as "lncRNA (ENSOCUG00000037391.1)". Lineage: Eukaryota; Metazoa; Chordata; Mammalia; Lagomorpha; Leporidae. The record is from RNAcentral.
AUGUACAUACCAUAUAAGAGGGUCAGUCAGCAAGGAUGGUUUCUAAAUUUUGUGUCCCCAGACAGCCAUCAGGCAGCCAGCAGAAAAAUGCAUUUUGAAGCCAUGGAGUCUCCAGUUUUUAUCUCUGACAUUAUGUUGAAAUUCGACAGAUGGAAGCCCAGCAGCAGACAUGCGGAUUGGAUGCCAAAUGAGGCACAUAUACAUAGCAGAGUGGUGCCCUACCCAGACAUUUUUGGGAUGAUGUGCAUAUUUCCAAGCUCACAAUGCACAUAUGUCAUCACAUCCACUUGCCAAUUCAGCCCAGGGAAGGUACCCGAAUCCUUUCUGCCUCAAGUUUAUCAGAUAUUUUCUGAACUCACGGCCUUCUGUCCAACACGUUCGACAGCUCCUGUGAUUAUGCUUCCUAAUUAAUUGCAAGAAAUCAUCAUCUACUCACUUAGGACAAAACAAAACUUGAGACUCAACCUUGACUUUUCACUUUUACUCAACUCUUCUGUGCAACCAUUUCUGAGUAUUCUUAAUGCUAUUUCCUAAAGAUUAUAGAUCAGCCAUCCUGUUUCCAAAGGAUGCAGUAGUAUCCCUUAGCUUGUAAAUGAGUGACCAUGAAUAGGACUAUAAAACCUAGACUUUUGGAAAUUUACCAAUGCCACUUUAUUUUAUCAGAGCUAGUAAGGGUACAUUUUUCACAAAGCAUAAAUAUUACCACUUUUAAUCAUCCUGAAUAAAUUAAUUAUGAAACAGUUCUCA